CCUUAACCUGCUAAAUAGUGACGGGAGCAUUUUUGCUCUACGCGCACUUCUUAGAGGGACUGUGGAUGCAAAUCCAUGGAAGUUUGAGGCAAUAACAGGUCUGUGAUGCCCUUAGAUGUCCUGGGCCGCACGCGCGCUACACUGACGGAGACAACGAGUAUUCACCUUGGCCGUAAGGUCUGGGUAAUCUUUUGAAACUCUGUCGUGAUGGGGAUUGUCCAUUGCAAUUAUUGGACAUGAACGAGGAAUUCCUAGUAAGUGCGUGUCAUCAGCACGCGUUGAUUACGUCCCUGCCCUUUGUACACACCGCCCGUCGCUACUACCGAUUGAAUGGCUUAGUGAGACCUCCGGAUUAACUUGCUUAGGCCGCGAGGCUUUCGCUUGUCGAAAAGUUGGUCAAACUUGGUCAUUUAGAGGAAGUAAAAGUCG
This 429-nucleotide ribosomal RNA is filed under the name Chytridiomycota sp. Its description in RNAcentral is "SSU rRNA". It matches the Rfam family "Eukaryotic small subunit ribosomal RNA", at positions 1341 to 1791 of the family's 1831-position model. The record is from RNAcentral. Lineage: Eukaryota; Fungi; Chytridiomycota.